RNAcentral lists this small RNA (127 nucleotides) under Marmota monax (woodchuck). Lineage: Eukaryota; Metazoa; Chordata; Mammalia; Rodentia; Sciuridae. The record is from RNAcentral.
GCUGGGAGCACUGCACACACCUGUAAUCCCAGCAACUGGGGAGGCUGAGGCAGGAGGAUCACGAGGUUUGAGGUCAGUCUCAGCAAUGUAGCAAGACCUUCAGCAACUUAGAGAGACUCUGUCUCAA